Long non-coding RNA from Hemibagrus wyckioides, 334 nucleotides. RefSeq lists it as uncharacterized. The transcript has 5 exons. The record is from RefSeq and is a predicted model, not a curated record. NCBI's taxonomy places the organism in Eukaryota, Metazoa, Chordata, Actinopteri, Siluriformes, Bagridae.
GCCGGGAGAAGGGAAGAAAAAUCCUUGUUGCCAGAUGGAUCAAUUCUUAUCCUGAAGAUUUCAAAAGAACUCCUUGGUUGAAACCCAGUCAUUAACUGAAACAGAAACAGCUGUGAAGGAGCUUAAACCUGGCGUGGCAUGCAUAAACAGCCCCGAGUGUCUUCUGCACCUUUUCUACACCACCAGCACAGCCAGCAAAGCAAAAUGGAUCCUAACCACCUAUAAAUCCAAGAAAAGAUAAAGAGGCAAACCUCAUCAGCUUGGAGACCCAGACAGUUAGCAGCGCAUCAAUCCUGAGGAUUCUUGCACAAGGGCCAAGGACACAACAAUCCGG